This 253-nucleotide ribosomal RNA is filed under the name uncultured bacterium. RNAcentral describes it as "partial 16S ribosomal RNA". It matches the Rfam family "Bacterial small subunit ribosomal RNA", at positions 524 to 776 of the family's 1533-position model. The record is from RNAcentral.
UACGGAGGGUGCAAACGUUGCUCGGAAUUAUUGGGCGUAAAGCGCACGUAGGCGGUUCGUUAUGUCGGAUGUGAAAGCCCCGGGCUUAACCCGGGAAGGGCAUCCGAAACUGGCGGGCUUGAGUACGGAAGAGGGUCUCGGAAUUCCCGGUGUAGAGGUGAAAUGCGUAGAGAUGUGGAGGAACACCAGUGGCGAAGGCGGCUUUUUGGUCUGUAACUGACGCUGAGGCGCGAAAGCGUGGGGAGCAAACAGG